Molecule: ribosomal RNA, 468 nt
Filed under: uncultured bacterium
Lineage: Bacteria
Description: partial 16S ribosomal RNA
Rfam family: Bacterial small subunit ribosomal RNA
Source: RNAcentral
GACGAACGCUGGCGGCGUGCUUAACACAUGCAAGUCGAACGGAAAGGCCCUGCUUUUGUGGGGUGCUCGAGUGGCGAACGGGUGAGUAACACGUGAGUAACCUGCCCUUGACUUUGGGAUAACUUCGGGAAACUGGGGCUAAUACCGGAUAGGAGCUCCUGCUGCAUGGUGGGGGUUGGAAAGUUUCGGCGGUUGGGGAUGGACUCGCGGCUUAUCAGCUUGUUGGUGGGGUAGUGGCUUACCAAGGCUUUGACGGGUAGCCGGCCUGAGAGGGUGACCGGCCCCAUUGGGACUGAGAUACGGCCCAGACUCCUACGGGAGGCAGCAGUGGGGUAUAUUGCACAAUGGGCGGAAGCCUGAUGCAGCAACGCCGCGUGCGGGAUGACGGCCUUCGGGUUGUAAUCCGCUUUCGCCUGUGACGAAGCGUGAGUGACGGUAAUGGGUAAAGAAGCACCGGCUAACUACGUG